CGUAGCCGGCCUGAGAGGGUGAACGGCCACAUUGGGACUGAGACACGGCCCAGACUCCUACGGGAGGCAGCAG
Molecule: ribosomal RNA, 73 nt
Filed under: uncultured bacterium
Lineage: Bacteria
Description: partial 16S ribosomal RNA
Rfam family: Bacterial small subunit ribosomal RNA
Source: RNAcentral